Labrus mixtus (cuckoo wrasse) is the source of this 380-nucleotide long non-coding RNA. RefSeq lists it as uncharacterized. NCBI's taxonomy places the organism in Eukaryota, Metazoa, Chordata, Actinopteri, Labriformes, Labridae. The transcript has 3 exons. The record is from RefSeq and is a predicted model, not a curated record.
UCUUCACAUAGGACUCAAAGGAAAUCAAUGCCCAAAGGAAACAGCAGUCCAGAGUCUGAUUCCAGCUCUGGUGAGGUUCUGCACACAAAUUGGCUGUCUGAUUCUUUUAAUGGGCACACUGACUUGAAGAGAGAGGACAAUUGGCUUCCAUGUACAAGACACACAAGUCCCAGAUUGAAUCACUCUAUCAGGUAAAGAGCUGUCUCACUUUAAAGUGAUAUAAGAUGGUGGAGUAUUACAGAAUCAUACUAAGUAAGCCACAGUCGGUCUAACACUGAGUUAAUAUAAACUCUAUGUAUAUUAAAAUAUACAAGCUUCUGAUUUCUGCCUCUCAGGUUGAUUCUGCUGUUUCAGUUUUCACCUGUUAGCUCACAUCCCUG